UUUAAAACAGAGAAAACAACCCUCUCACAGGUGGGGGAGGUUCGGACGGGUACUUGUAUAAAAAAAGAAUCGGGAUAAAUUCGGUGCCAAGAAGCCGGCGGUAAAUACGGAGGAAUCCAAGGCUUUAUCCGGAAUCCAUUGGGUUUAAAGGGGUCCGGUAGGCGGGAAUAAUAAAUUCAGUGGUGAAAAUUCUGCCGCUUAACCGGUAGAAUUGCCAUUGAUACUGUUGUUCUUGAAUUAUUAUGAAGUGGUUGGAAUGAGUAGUGUAGCGGUGAAAUGCAUAGAUAUUACUCAGAACACCUAUUGCGAAGGCAGAUCACUAAUAAUAUAUUGACGCUGAUGGACGAAAGCGUAGGUAGCGAACAGGAUUAGAUACCCUGGUAGUCUACGCCGUAAACGAUGGUCACUAGCUGUCCGGCCUAAUUGAGGGCUGGGUGGUUAAGCGAAAGUGAUAAGUGACCCACCUGGGGAGUACGUUCGCAAGAAUGAAACUCAAAGGAAUUGACGGGGGCCCGCACAAGCGGUGGAGCAUGUGGUUUAAUUCGAUGAUACGCGAGGAACCUUACCAGGGCUUAAAUGCAGUUGGACAGGUCUGGAAACAGACCCUUCUUCGGACUAAUUGCAAGGUGCUGCAUGGUUGUCGUCAGCUCGUGCCGUGAGGUGUCAGGUUAAGUCCUAUAACGAGCGCAACCCCUGUGGUUAGUUGCCAGCACGUAAUGGUGGGAACUCUAGCCAGACUGCCGGUGCAAACCGCGAGGAAGGUGGGGAUGACGUCAAAUCAUCACGGCCCUUACGUCCUGGGCCACACACGUGCUACAAUGGUAGGGACAGAGGGCAGCUACCCCGCGAGGGGAUGCGAAUCUUCAAACCCUAUCACAGUUCGGAUCGCAGUCUGCAACUCGACUGCGUGAAGCUGGAAUCGCUAGUAAUCGCAUAUCAGCCAUGAUGCGGUGAAUACGUUCCCGGGCCUUGUACACACCGCCCGUCAAGCCAUGGAAGCCGGGGGUACCUGAAGUCGGUCACCGCAAGGAGCCGCCUAGGGUAAGACUGGUAACUGGGG
This 1060-nucleotide ribosomal RNA is filed under the name uncultured bacterium. RNAcentral describes it as "bacterial SSU rRNA". It matches the Rfam family "Bacterial small subunit ribosomal RNA", at positions 434 to 1480 of the family's 1533-position model. The record is from RNAcentral.